RNAcentral lists this ribosomal RNA (465 nucleotides) under Vreelandella stevensii. Its description in RNAcentral is "partial 16S ribosomal RNA". It matches the Rfam family "Bacterial small subunit ribosomal RNA", at positions 338 to 795 of the family's 1533-position model. The record is from RNAcentral. Lineage: Bacteria; Pseudomonadati; Pseudomonadota; Gammaproteobacteria; Oceanospirillales; Halomonadaceae.
CCUGCGGGUGGCAGCAGUGGGGAAUAUUGGACAAUGGGCGAAAGCCUGAUCCAGCCAUGCCGCGUGUGUGAAGAAGGCCUUCGGGUUGUAAAGCACUUUCAGUGGGGAAGAAAGCCUUGGGGCUAAUACCCUCGAGGAAGGACAUCACCCACAGAAGAAGCACCGGCUAACUCCGUGCCAGCAGCCGCGGUAAUACGGAGGGUGCGAGCGUUAAUCGGAAUUACUGGGCGUAAAGCGCGCGUAGGCGGUCUGAUAAGCCGGUUGUGAAAGCCCCGGGCUCAACCUGGGAACGGCAUCCGGAACUGUCAGGCUAGAGUGCAGGAGAGGAAGGUAGAAUUCCCGGUGUAGCGGUGAAAUGCGUAGAGAUCGGGAGGAAUACCAGUGGCGAAGGCGGUCUUCUGGACUGACACUGACGCUGAGGUGCGAAAGCGUGGGUAGCAAACAGGAUUAGAUACCCCAGUAGUC